Chinchilla lanigera (long-tailed chinchilla) is the source of this 574-nucleotide long non-coding RNA. RefSeq lists it as uncharacterized. The transcript has 3 exons. Lineage: Eukaryota; Metazoa; Chordata; Mammalia; Rodentia; Chinchillidae. The record is from RefSeq and is a predicted model, not a curated record.
UACAAAUUCCUCACGCCCCACCUGAAGAUGAUACAAAGAGUUUUUAUAAACUGCCUCCAGCAUUGCCUGGGUUGGCCAGUACCCACCUAGUCUUGUCCCUUCCCCCAACCUCUCCAGUACUGCGUCACAAACGUUCACCAAGCUGUCUUAGCAGUGGCCAGACCCCACCUCCAGCGACAAGGCUAACCAUCUGCACCCGGAUUGGCUGUUGUCCUGGGCAACGGAGAACGCAGUGGAUACGUCAGGCGCUCAGAGGGUAUUUAAGAGCUGCCGCUGCCCCGGUCUCCUCAGUCCGGCCAGGACGGCCACCGUGAAGCACCUGGGUUGAGAGGGAGCAGCCACGUGAACGCGCACCGCCUGCCUCCCCAGUCCCCAGCCCGUGCCUCUGCAGAGAGCUUUGGAUCUUCCUCAGAAGAACAUGAAGUUGCUUCUGUGGAACUGAUUCUCUGCCAUGGCCUCAGCAAUCCAUAUCCCAUGCACGGGCAGGAUUCCCCAUGGUCACAAGUCAACUUGCACAUCUAGUUAAAAUCCAAGGUUCACAUUAAUGAAAGAAAUUGAAACCGAUCACUUUGGU